UUACCUUACAUGAUUGAGCAACCAUUUGGGUUCUCGUCGCUAAAACAUUCACCGCGGCUCGUGUAACAGUAGCUAUACCCGCCGCCGCCGCCCCAGCUGUCAUAAACUGGCCUACCGUAAGUCUGGUAACAUGGGCGUAGGGGUGGAGGUGGUCCACCAUAAUAGCAAGGUCCCCCACCAACGCCAUGAUAGCAUUCCGUGCAACAGCAUCCGAUGGGGGGAUAAGCCAUUGGUGGUGGAGGACAAGGUUCUGGAACCUUUGGUGCUGGUGCUGGUGGUUUCGGUGGUGGUUCUUUUGGUUUCUCAGGUUCCUUAGGCUUUUCGGGUUCUUUCGGCUUUUCGGGUUGUUUAGGUUUCUCGGGUUCUUUGGGUUUUCCGGGUUCUUUUGGUUUUUCGGGUGCUUUAGGCUUUUCGGGUUCUUUUGGUUUUUCUGGUACUUUAGGCUUCUCUGGUUCUUUGGGUUUUUCAGGUUCUUUGGGCUUUUUGGGUUCUUUAGGCUUCUCAGGCUCAUUGGGUUUGGGAGGAGGAGGUGGAGGUUUGAUCUCAAUGCUCUUGAUUGAUCCAGCACCCUUGCAACAUAUCUUGUCCCUCAGCUUCUCAGGAUUGCAGCAUACCACAGUAAUGGUCACGGUGUUGGCUUUCUCAUCGUAUAUCUGGUCUCG
This 662-nucleotide long non-coding RNA is filed under the name Gossypium barbadense (sea-island cotton). RNAcentral describes it as "long non-coding RNA (GBAR_LNC017367)". Lineage: Eukaryota; Viridiplantae; Streptophyta; Magnoliopsida; Malvales; Malvaceae. The record is from RNAcentral.